This 275-nucleotide long non-coding RNA is filed under the name Gossypium barbadense (sea-island cotton). Its description in RNAcentral is "long non-coding RNA (GBAR_LNC012293)". The record is from RNAcentral. Lineage: Eukaryota; Viridiplantae; Streptophyta; Magnoliopsida; Malvales; Malvaceae.
AUACACAAGGCCCAAUACUUCUUGGCCCAGAUUCGGGGCUUUACAAUUCUACCCCCUUAAAGAAAUUUCGUCCUCAAAAUUUCCAACAUCUGAACAAGCACUUAGCUCAUCUACACCACUACGCUCCCGCUGCGCACUCUAGUUCCAAACUACACUAAUACACUUUUAACUUAAUCUCAAAACCUCUCACACCCAACCAAACAUCUAACCACAGAAGCAAGCAGAUAUUUUGUAACACCCCAAACCCGGCCUAGACGUUAUGACCGGAUCCGGUG